UGCCAGCCGCCGCGGUAAUAUGGAGGGUGCAUGCGUUGUUCGGAAUUAUUGGGCGUAAAGAGCAUGUAGGCGGACUGUUAAGUCUGAUGUGAAAGCCCGGGGCUCAACCCCGGAAGUGCAUUGGAUACUGGCAGUCUUGAGUAUGGGAGAGGAAAGUGGAAUUCCGAGUGUAGGAGUGAAAUCCGUAGAUAUUCGGAGGAACACCAGUGGCGAAGGCGACUUCCUGGGCCAAUACUGACGCUGAGGUGCGAAAGCGUGGGGAGCAAACAGGAUUAGAUA
RNAcentral lists this ribosomal RNA (279 nucleotides) under uncultured bacterium. RNAcentral's name for it is "partial 16S ribosomal RNA". It matches the Rfam family "Bacterial small subunit ribosomal RNA", at positions 506 to 784 of the family's 1533-position model. The record is from RNAcentral.